This 995-nucleotide ribosomal RNA is filed under the name Colletotrichum sp. RNAcentral describes it as "SSU rRNA". It matches the Rfam family "Eukaryotic small subunit ribosomal RNA", at positions 79 to 1084 of the family's 1831-position model. Lineage: Eukaryota; Fungi; Ascomycota; Sordariomycetes; Glomerellales; Glomerellaceae. The record is from RNAcentral.
CAGCGAAACUGCGAAUGGCUCAUUAUAUAAGUUAUCGUUUAUUUGAUAGUACCUUACUACUUGGAUAACCGUGGUAAUUCUAGAGCUAAUACAUGCUAAAAAUCCCGACUUCGGAAGGGAUGUAUUUAUUAGAUUAAAAACCAAUGCCCUUCGGGGCUCACUGGUGAUUCAUGAUAACUCCUCGAAUCGCAUGGCCUUGUGCCGGCGAUGGUUCAUUCAAAUUUCUUCCCUAUCAACUUUCGAUGUUUGGGUAUUGGCCAAACAUGGUUGCAACGGGUAACGGAGGGUUAGGGCUCGACCCCGGAGAAGGAGCCUGAGAAACGGCUACUACAUCCAAGGAAGGCAGCAGGCGCGCAAAUUACCCAAUCCCGACACGGGGAGGUAGUGACAAUAAAUACUGAUACAGGGCUCUUUUGGGUCUUGUAAUUGGAAUGAGUACAAUUUAAAUCCCUUAACGAGGAACAAUUGGAGGGCAAGUCUGGUGCCAGCAGCCGCGGUAAUUCCAGCUCCAAUAGCGUAUAUUAAAGUUGUUGUGGUUAAAAAGCUCGUAGUUGAACCUUGGGCCUGGCUGGCCGGUCCGCCUCACCGCGUGUACUGGUCCGGCCGGGCCUUUCCCUCUGUGGAACCCCAUGCCCUUCACUGGGUGUGGCGGGGAAACAGGACUUUUACUGUGAAAAAAUUAGAGUGCUCCAGGCAGGCCUAUGCUCGAAUACAUUAGCAUGGAAUAAUAGAAUAGGACGUGUGGUUCUAUUUUGUUGGUUUCUAGGACCGCCGUAAUGAUUAAUAGGGACAGUCGGGGGCAUCAGUAUUCAAUUGUCAGAGGUGAAAUUCUUGGAUUUAUUGAAGACUAACUACUGCGAAAGCAUUUGCCAAGGAUGUUUUCAUUAAUCAGGAACGAAAGUUAGGGGAUCGAAGACGAUCAGAUACCGUCGUAGUCUUAACCAUAAACUAUGCCGACUAGGGAUCGGACGGUGUUAUUUUUUGACCCGUUCGGC